RNAcentral lists this unclassified non-coding RNA (291 nucleotides) under rhizosphere metagenome. RNAcentral describes it as "partial ribosomal RNA internal transcribed spacer region". The record is from RNAcentral.
GUAGGUGAACCUGCGGAAGGAUCAUUAUCGAGUUUGAAAGGAGUUGAUGCUGGCCUUCCGAGGCAUGUGCUCGCUCCUGUCAGAUCCAACUCAACACCUGUGCACAUCAGAGGGCGCGAGUGGUCUGUCCCUUGCCAACGGGCCUCGAUUCCUCCGUGGGUCGAGGCUUGGAGGGGUGGAUCCUGGCGACCUCCUUCACAUCACAAACUCUUGAACGUAUCCAGAACGUGUAGCAGCCCUCGUGUGGGGCAGUCUUAAUUACAACUUUCAACAACGGAUCUCUUGGCUCUC